UGGGGAAUAUUGGACAAUGGGCGCAAGCCUGAUCCAGCCAUGCCGCGUGAUUGAUGAAGGCCCUAGGGUUGUAAAGCUCUUUCACCGGUGAAGAUAAUGACGGUAACCGGAGAAGAAGCCCCGGCUAACUUCGUGCCAGCAGCCGCGGUAAUACGAAGGGGGCUAGCGUUGUUCGGAUUUACUGGGCGUAAAGCGCACGUAGGCGGACUUUUAAGUCAGGGGUGAAAUCCCGGGGCUCAACCCCGGAACUGCCUUUGAUACUGGAAGUCUUGAGUAUGGUAGAGGUGAGUGGAAUUCCGAGUGUAGAGGUGAAAUUCGUAGAUAUUCGGAGGAACACCAGUGGCGAAGGCGGCUCACUGGACCAUUACUGACGCUGAGGUGCGAAAGCGUGGGGAGCAAACAGG
RNAcentral lists this ribosomal RNA (404 nucleotides) under Actinomycetes bacterium. RNAcentral's name for it is "Actinobacteria bacterium partial 16S ribosomal RNA". It matches the Rfam family "Bacterial small subunit ribosomal RNA", at positions 355 to 776 of the family's 1533-position model. The record is from RNAcentral. Lineage: Bacteria; Bacillati; Actinomycetota; Actinomycetes.